CUCUUGUACAUGCUACACCAAAACUCUUGAAAUCUUUCACCCCCAUUUUAGCUUCCAAGGUGAGGGUCAUCGUCAGGGUCAGGCCCUUCCUUGCACAUGAAACCUCAUCAAGAAACGGUGACCCCAGCCCUUCCUUGCACACGAAACCUCAUCAAGAAACGGCGACCCCAUUUCGUGCAUCUCCGUCCUCGACCAAGAUUUCGAGUCUCCGCAAGACGAGGUUGCCGUUUAUCUCAAAGACCCACUAACCAGCCGGAAUGAAUGCUACCAGUUGGAGUCGUUCUUUAGGUAAGAAGAUAACAACGUGGUCAGAUAUUCUGCAGAGAAGUUAGUCUCUUUGUUCCGGGGAUCUUCAGUGGAUGCAAUGCCACCGUGUUUGCUUAUGGGGCUACUGGAAGUGGGAAGACAUAUACUAUUCAGGGAACCGAUGAACAACCUGGCUUGAUGCCACUGGCAAUGUCCAUGAUCCUUUCUACUUGCCAAAGCACUGGCAGGACAGCACAUAUUUCAUACUAUAAAGUCUACAUGGACCGAUGCUACGACCUCUUGUUGGUUGCAGGCUGCAGCAGCUAUGUGUGUUGGAAUGGGCAGCUUCUCUGACCCGUAUGAAGCGCA
Cajanus cajan (pigeon pea) is the source of this 615-nucleotide non-coding RNA. Lineage: Eukaryota; Viridiplantae; Streptophyta; Magnoliopsida; Fabales; Fabaceae. The record is from RefSeq and is a predicted model, not a curated record.